RNAcentral lists this ribosomal RNA (253 nucleotides) under uncultured bacterium. RNAcentral describes it as "partial 16S ribosomal RNA". It matches the Rfam family "Bacterial small subunit ribosomal RNA", at positions 524 to 776 of the family's 1533-position model. The record is from RNAcentral.
UACGUAGGGUGCAAGCGUUGUCCGGAAUUAUUGGGCGUAAAGAGCUCGUAGGCGGUUUGUCACGUCGGCUGUGAAAACCCGGGGCUCAACCCCGGGCCUGCAGUCGAUACGGGCAAACUAGAGUUCGGCAGGGGAGACUGGAAUUCCUGGUGUAGCGGUGAAAUGCGCAGAUAUCAGGAGGAACACCGGUGGCGAAGGCGGGUCUCUGGGCCGAUACUGACGCUGAGGAGCGAAAGCGUGGGGAGCAAACAGG